AUGGCGACCGGCGCACGGGUGCGUAACGCGUAUGCAACCUACCUGUAACAGGGGGAUAACACUGAGAAAUCGGUACUAAUACCGCAUAACACUAUGAGAGGCAUCUCUUGUGGUUGAAAGUUUCGGCGGUUACAGAUGGGCAUGCGUUGUAUUAGCUGGUUGGUAAGGUAACGGCUUACCAAGGCGACGAUACAUAGGGGGACUGAGAGGUUAACCCCCCACAUUUGUACUGAGACACGGACCAAACUCCUACGGGAGGCAGCAG
This 265-nucleotide ribosomal RNA is filed under the name uncultured bacterium. RNAcentral describes it as "partial 16S ribosomal RNA". It matches the Rfam family "Bacterial small subunit ribosomal RNA", at positions 88 to 354 of the family's 1533-position model. The record is from RNAcentral.